This 931-nucleotide ribosomal RNA is filed under the name uncultured bacterium. RNAcentral describes it as "bacterial SSU rRNA". It matches the Rfam family "Bacterial small subunit ribosomal RNA", at positions 8 to 916 of the family's 1533-position model. The record is from RNAcentral.
AGAGUUUGAUCCUGGCUCAGGACGAACGCUGGCGGCGUGCUUAACACAUGCAAGUCGAACGGGGUGUUUAUUUCGGUAAACACCAAGUGGCGAACGGGUGAGUAACGCGUAAGCAAUCUACCUUCAAGAUGGGGACAACACUUCGAAAGGGGUGCUAAUACCGAAUGAAUGUAAGAGUAUCGCAUGAGACACUUACUAAAGGAGGCCUCUGAAAAUGCUUCCGCUUGAAGAUGAGCUUGCGUCUGAUUAGCUAGUUGGUGAGGGUAAAGGCCCACCAAGGCGACGAUCAGUAGCCGGUCUGAGAGGAUGAACGGCCACAUUGGGACUGAGACACGGCCCAGACUCCUACGGGAGGCAGCAGUGGGGAAUCUUCCGCAAUGGGCGAAAGCCUGACGGAGCAACGCCGCGUGAACGAAGAAGGUCUUAGGAUCGUAAAGUUCUGUUGUUAGGGACGAAGGGUAAGAAUCAUAAUAAGGUUUUUAUUUGACGGUACCUAACGAGGAAGCCACGGCUAACUACGUGCCAGCAGCCGCGGUAAUACGUAGGCGGCAAGCGUUGUCCGGAAUUAUUGGGCGUAAAGGGAGCGCAGGCGGGAAACUAAGCGGAUCUUAAAAGUGCGGGGCUCAACCCCGUGAUGGGGUCCGAACUGGUUUUCUUGAGUGCAGGAGAGGAAAGCGGAAUUCCCAGUGUAGCGGUGAAAUGCGUAGAUAUUGGGAAGAACACCAGUGGCGAAGGCGGCUUUCUGGACUGUAACUGACGCUGAGGCUCGAAAGCUAGGGUAGCGAACGGGAUUAGAUACCCCGGUAGUCCUAGCCGUAAACGAUGGAUACUAGGUGUGGGAGGUAUCGACCCCUUCCGUGCCGGAGUUAACGCAAUAAGUAUCCCGCCUGGGGAGUACGGCCGCAAGGUUGAAACUCAAAUGAAUUGACGG